This 254-nucleotide ribosomal RNA is filed under the name uncultured bacterium. RNAcentral describes it as "partial 16S ribosomal RNA". It matches the Rfam family "Bacterial small subunit ribosomal RNA", at positions 524 to 776 of the family's 1533-position model. The record is from RNAcentral.
UACGGAGGGGGCAAGCGUUGUUCGGAUUUACUGGGCGUAAAGGGUGUGUAGGCGGUUAUGUAAGUCUGGUGUGAAAUCUUCAUCGCUCAACGGGAAGAGGUCACUGGAAACUGUGUAACUCGAGUGUGGUAGAGGCAAGCGGAAUUCCUGGUGUAGCGGUGGAAUGUGUAGAUAUCAGGAAGAACAUCGGUGGCGAAGGCGGCUUGCUGGGCCAUUACUGACGCUGAGACACGAAAGCGUGGGGAGCAAACGGG